GUCUCCGUAGUAUAUAAGUAUUACACUAGUCUUGUAAACUAGAAAAGAGGGAUGAACAUCUCCGGAGACU
This 70-nucleotide transfer RNA is filed under the name Taphozous melanopogon (black-bearded tomb bat). Its description in RNAcentral is "tRNA-Thr". It matches the Rfam family "tRNA". Rfam says of the family: Transfer RNA (tRNA) molecules are approximately 80 nucleotides in length. Their secondary structure includes four short double-helical elements and three loops (D, anti-codon, and T loops). Further hydrogen bonds mediate the characteristic L-shaped molecular structure. tRNAs have two regions of fundamental functional importance: the anti-codon, which is responsible for specific mRNA codon recognition, and the 3' end, to which the tRNAs corresponding amino acid is attached (by aminoacyl-tRNA synthetases). tRNAs cope with the degeneracy of the genetic code in two manners: having more than one tRNA (with a specific anti-codon) for a particular amino acid; and 'wobble' base-pairing, i.e. permitting non-standard base-pairing at the 3rd anti-codon position. Lineage: Eukaryota; Metazoa; Chordata; Mammalia; Chiroptera; Emballonuridae. The record is from RNAcentral.